Molecule: ribosomal RNA, 440 nt
Filed under: uncultured bacterium
Lineage: Bacteria
Description: partial 16S ribosomal RNA
Rfam family: Bacterial small subunit ribosomal RNA
Source: RNAcentral
CCUACGGGAGGCAGCAGUGGGGAAUAUUGGACAAUGGGGGGAACCCUGAUCCAGCGAUGCCGCGUGAGUGAAGAAGUCUUUCGGUAUGUAAAGCUCUAUCAGCAGGGAAGAAAAUUACGGUACCUGACUAAGUAGCCCCGGCUAACUACGUGCCAGCAGCCGCGGUCAUACGUAGGGGGCAAGCGUUAUCCGGAUUUACUGGGUGUAAAGGGAGCGUAGACGGUGCAGCAAGUCUGAUGUGAAAGGUCGGGGCCCAACCCCGGGACUGCAUAGGAGACUGUUGGACUGGAGUGCAGGAGAGGUAAGCGGAAUUCCUAGUGUAGCGGUGAAAUGCGUAGAUAUUAGGAAGAACACCGGUGGCGAAGGCAGCUUACUGGAAUGUAACUGACGUUGAGGCUCGAAAGCGUGGGGAGCAAACAGGAUUAGAUACCCUUGUAGUC